RNAcentral lists this long non-coding RNA (344 nucleotides) under Prunus dulcis (almond). RNAcentral describes it as "sRNA ncRNA". Lineage: Eukaryota; Viridiplantae; Streptophyta; Magnoliopsida; Rosales; Rosaceae. The record is from RNAcentral.
AUGCAUAUUUCCUUCGCCGCCCAACUAGCUCUCAAGAGACACCUAACCCCCCAUCUAGCUCACCACUCACAAAGUCACCACCCCAUUAACCCAAGUUGCCAACCUCACAGCUCCAUUUCGGCACAACCCAACAACCUAAGCACAACACCCAUUCCCUAGCCUCAAAUUCUUCCACAGCUAAGAAGUCUUUCGCCUUCCUAGGGGGGCAGGACUGAAAUCGGUAAUUAAGCACAGACAGAGAUCUAGGUGAUGUGGGAGGCUGGAUCUUGGGGAAGGGAGGAGCUGUGUACGCUUGUGGUGAAGGAAGACGUUGGAGAGAUUUGGGCCAAUGGAGAGAGAGAUAG